RNAcentral lists this ribosomal RNA (171 nucleotides) under Moenkhausia costae. RNAcentral's name for it is "partial small subunit ribosomal RNA". Lineage: Eukaryota; Metazoa; Chordata; Actinopteri; Characiformes; Acestrorhamphidae. The record is from RNAcentral.
CACCGCGGUUAUACGAAAGACCCCAGUUGAUGGGCACGGCGUAAAGGGUGGUUAAGGAACACAAAAAUAAAGCUAAAGACCCUCUAGGCUGUUAUACGCAUUACGAGGAAACGAAGCCCUAACACGAAAGUAGCUUUAAAUAACUAUCCUGAUGCCACGAAAACCAAGAAA